CGCGGUGGCUCAGCCCUGGUUGCCUAGGAGACAGGACAGCGGCAGCAUCCUCCUGCCUGCCCGCCGGCCUGUGUUUCCUUUGCUUCUUCACCCUGCUUUUUGUUUUAUUCCCUGGCCUGCCGCCCUUUUCUUCAUCUCGCAGAAGGGGCCCGCUCCGCACGGAGUAGCUGCGCGGCCUCCCAGCGCCUCAGGCCGCGAGAGGGACGGCGACGGUUCCCGUAGAAGGUUAAGAACCCACACCCGAGAGCAGACCUGCUCGGGGACCCGUCCCCUUCUGGCAACAAAGACACAAACAGGACUUCGAAGAGGAAAAAGGACAGGUUGCCCGGUGUUGAAAGGGGAGGCGGAAGACGCAGACUCUGGAGGAGGCGUCAUCGGCCAGCCCUGUAGAAUGGAAAGCCUAGCCUGCAAUAGAAUCAUCUGGACCUCAGCUGCCUUUCGCAAGGGAGUGACUUUAGUAGGUGAAAAUGCAACUGGACAAAGCGGGAGGCCAGGGGAGAGGAGAGGAACAUCAGAGACCCGCUUCUCUUGCAGUGUGUCUCAAGUCCGGAGGAAGAUCCCUCAGGGACAGAUAAGAAAGCCUUUCCUCCCCUAUGGAGCCCAGGACUGGGACAGUCAGGCUUCCAGAGCUGUCGCAAAAGGUAUUUUGUUGGCAGCCAGUGCUGAGUGAUUUUAGCUUGAGGGAAGGGCCCAUGGAGCUCAGAAACAGAAGGGACUUCCUCACACACUGGAGAAAAUGAGGAAGCAGUUUCUGAAAGCCACCAAGAACGCCUUCAAAUGUCACAGUCGUACCAACCUCAAGGGACCAUAGCACCGCAUAGCAGCAAAUCCUGACAGUUGAAUAUGCUGAUUUCCCAGACAACGUUAUGAUGAAAAUAUGUUAACAAAUUUGCAGAACCAGCAAUUUCACUUGUAGAAACUGAUGCCAAGAAACGCUUGGAUUAAUGUCCAUAUAGAUAAAACCUUGGAAAAAGUGGAGAUGUUGAAAACAAUCUAUAUUUCCAACAAUAAGAGGUAAAUUACUAUAUAUUUAUUGUUCAAAAAAUGUUCAUAAUAAAAGUAGUAUGUGGUAUAAAUCCAAUUUAUGUAAAAUAAACGUGUCCUUGGCUCCUCA
Miniopterus natalensis is the source of this 1114-nucleotide long non-coding RNA. RefSeq lists it as uncharacterized. The record is from RefSeq and is a predicted model, not a curated record. Lineage: Eukaryota; Metazoa; Chordata; Mammalia; Chiroptera; Miniopteridae.